RNAcentral lists this unclassified non-coding RNA (253 nucleotides) under uncultured Moraxellaceae bacterium. Its description in RNAcentral is "contains 16S-23S intergenic spacer region". It matches the Rfam family "Bacterial small subunit ribosomal RNA", at positions 524 to 776 of the family's 1533-position model. The record is from RNAcentral. Lineage: Bacteria; Pseudomonadati; Pseudomonadota; Gammaproteobacteria; Moraxellales; Moraxellaceae.
UACGUAGGGUGCGAGCGUUAAUCGGAUUUACUGGGCGUAAAGCGUGCGUAGGCGGCUUUUUAAGUCGGAUGUGAAAUCCCCGAGCUUAACUUGGGAAUUGCAUUCGAUACUGGGAAGCUAGAGUCUUGUAGAGGGGGGUAGAAUUCCAGGUGUAGCGGUGAAAUGCGUAGAGAUCUGGAGGAAUACCGAUGGCGAAGGCAGCCAUCUGGCCUAAUACUGACGCUGAGGUACGAAAGCAUGGGGGGCAAACAGG